RNAcentral lists this long non-coding RNA (1547 nucleotides) under Homo sapiens (human). Its description in RNAcentral is "HSALNT0243035". The record is from RNAcentral. Lineage: Eukaryota; Metazoa; Chordata; Mammalia; Primates; Hominidae.
AACAGAGUGACCAGCCGUUUGGAAUGAGGAUCUUUGAAAGCAACUCGGCGCCUUCAAAGCACUUGGUGAAACCUAGCCUAAAGCGUUGUCCCACCAUGCUCUGCGGCGAUAACGGCCUUUGGCGGGAAAGAGUCUCGGAGGCGGGGCCAAAGGGGGACGGCCCGGGCGGUUGCUCCGGAAACCCGGGUAUCUUCGUAGGGUGCGUCUAAUCCAGAGCUGAGUUGCGGGUGAUUGAACGGAGAGCUGGGGCGUUGGUUUGUCUUCCCGCCCCUGCUGCGAAUAGACCGUGGCUGCUUAGACAGAUGUGUCUAAUUUAGCGAAACCGAUUUAGAUUCCUUAAUCCUCUUCAUUAAGUACCGUUCCGCCUUCUCGUCAGAACUUUGCAUAGCUCGGGUCAGCACUCCUAGUGCUAGUCGCAGUGGGUCCGUAUCCCGACCGGCAACGUGGUACCCGCCAACCAGAAGGGGUAACACCGUACCGCCUAUGGGACCCACACCUUUUUAUCUCUUGUUAGUCGCCUGUCCGUGGGACUAGCGCAGAAUGCCUGCAGAAUGAAUCGUUUCUGUUGUUUCCUUUCAAAGAACGAGAAGGAAGAAAGGGUGCGUGUGUGCAGUCCUUUUUUCAAAAGUUUUCCCUAAAAGUUACUGAUACACCAGGUUUUGAAAAUACCGGUCCUCUCAGGUAAUAAAAUGGAGCAAAAUGGAUGUGAGAACCGUAACCACUAGAUACCGCGGUUGCUAUUCAGGACUGUGAUCCUGUUUGCCUGCGGCAUUGGGAGAUAACAUUUUACAUUUUUUUUCGACGUCUGAAAUCUGGAUUUUUAUGUGAAAUCCUGGGAUUUUUAAACGUCGCUAAUGAAAACUAGAUGAGGCUGGGCGUGGUGGCUCACUCCUGUAAUCCCAGCACUUUGGGAGGCCGAGGCGGGCGGAUCACCUGAGGUCAGGAGUCGGAGACCAACAUGUCGAAACCCGUAUCUUCUAAAAAUACAAAACAUUAGCUGGGUAUGGUGGCGCGUGCCUGUAAUCCCAGCUACUCGGUAGGGUGAGACAGGACAAUCUCUUGAACCCUUAGGAGGUGGAGGCUGCAGUGAGCGGAAAUCACGCCACUGCACUCCAGCCUGGGUGACAGAACAAGACUCCAUCUCACACACACACAAAAAAAAUGCUAGAGUAAGAAAUCAGAGGAAUGGGAAAAUGAGGGGUGGAUUAAAUGAAAUACGCAUAAAUUACUAUACAAAAUGCCUGCAGUGAAAGCCCGUUGAAUUUGUUGAGAUAGAUUGCAAAUUUUACUUUAGUCUUCCCAGAAGUCACGGUAAAGAAGGGUACAGAAGUAUUGUGUAUUCAAAAUCCAAAGUGCCUUUGGGAUAAAAGUAAAUAGGUCAUUCAGGAGAAGGACAUGUUUUCUUAAUUCUAAAAGCUGAUGAAAUAUAUUUUACAAAUGUUUCUCGGUGACCCCAAAAUACAAAUUCAAUUUGAAAUGAGCAGGGAUGCUUGGUCUUGUGGCCGUAGAUCCUCGGUAUAUCUACAGAUGACCUUUGGUAAUCCUUG